ACGUACCGUACGAACGUUAUUCGGAAUCACUGGGCUUAAAGAGUCCGUAGGCGGCCUUAAAGGUGAGGUGUGAAAUCCCACGGCUUAACCGUGGAACUGCGCUUCAAACCAUAAGGCUCGAGGGAGAUAGAGGAAAGCGGAACUGAUGGUGGAGCGGUGAAAUGCGUUGAUAUCAUCAGGAACACCGGUGGCGAAAGCGGCUUUCUGGGUCUCUUCUGACGCUGAGGGACGAAAGCUAGGGGAGCGAACGGGAUUAGAUACCCCGGUAGUCCUAGCUGUAAACGAUGAGCACUAGUUCGAGGGGACCCCCACAUCCUCUUGGACGUAGCGAAAGUGUUAAGUGCUCCGCCUGGGGAGUAUGGUCGCAAGGCUG
This 373-nucleotide ribosomal RNA is filed under the name uncultured bacterium. Its description in RNAcentral is "bacterial SSU rRNA". It matches the Rfam family "Bacterial small subunit ribosomal RNA", at positions 525 to 896 of the family's 1533-position model. The record is from RNAcentral.